UGUUAAAAUUUUCAUUCAUUUGUACUAUUAAAAAUUGACAUGACUAAUGAAAUAACUAGAAAGUGACACGUGAUAUGCCUCGUGUACCUUAUGUUGAUGUAUAAUGACCAUUUUUAACUGUAGAACGGGAUAGAAUUUUUAACA
Gossypium raimondii (Peruvian cotton) is the source of this 144-nucleotide non-coding RNA. NCBI's taxonomy places the organism in Eukaryota, Viridiplantae, Streptophyta, Magnoliopsida, Malvales, Malvaceae. The record is from Rfam.